GUCUACAGCCAUUCCACCCUGGCUGUGCCUUAUCUUGGAAGCAAAGGAGGGUCAGGCCCGGUUAGUACUUGGAUGGGUGACCACCUGGGAAUACUGGCUGUGGCAAGGU
Molecule: ribosomal RNA, 109 nt
Filed under: Capra hircus (goat)
Lineage: Eukaryota; Metazoa; Chordata; Mammalia; Artiodactyla; Bovidae
Source: RNAcentral